UACGUAGGUGGCAAGCGUUAUCCGGAUUUACUGGGUGUAAAGGGCGUGUAGGCGGGACUGCAAGUCAGAUGUGAAAACCACGGGCUCAACCUGUGGCCUGCAUUUGAAACUGUUUCCCUUGAGUGUCGGAGAGGUAAUCGGAAUUCCUGGUGUAGCGGUGAAAUGCGUAGAUAUCACGCAGAACUCCGAUUGCGAAGGCAGCAUACCGGCGCGCAACUGACGCUCAUGCACGAAAGCGUGGGUAUCGAACAGG
This 253-nucleotide ribosomal RNA is filed under the name uncultured bacterium. RNAcentral's name for it is "partial 16S ribosomal RNA". It matches the Rfam family "Bacterial small subunit ribosomal RNA", at positions 524 to 776 of the family's 1533-position model. The record is from RNAcentral.